This 1966-nucleotide ribosomal RNA is filed under the name Escherichia coli. RNAcentral's name for it is "partial 23S ribosomal RNA". It matches the Rfam family "Bacterial large subunit ribosomal RNA", at positions 506 to 2455 of the family's 2925-position model. Lineage: Bacteria; Pseudomonadati; Pseudomonadota; Gammaproteobacteria; Enterobacterales; Enterobacteriaceae. The record is from RNAcentral.
AGGGAAAGGCGAAAAGAACCCCGGCGAGGGGAGUGAAAAAGAACCUGAAACCGUGUACGUACAAGCAGUGGGAGCACAGAGCAAUCUGUGUGACUGCGUACCUUUUGUAUAAUGGGUCAGCGACUUAUAUUCUGUAGCAAGGUUAACCGAAUAGGGGAGCCGAAGGGAAACCGAGUCUUAACUGGGCGUUAAGUUGCAGGGUAUAGACCCGAAACCCGGUGAUCUAGCCAUGGGCAGGUUGAAGGUUGGGUAACACUAACUGGAGGACCGAACCGACUAAUGUUGAAAAAUUAGCGGAUGACUUGUGGCUGGGGGUGAAAGGCCAAUCAAACCGGGAGAUAGCUGGUUCUCCCCGAAAGCUAUUUAGGUAGCGCCUCGUGAAUUCAUCUCCGGGGGUAGAGCACUGUUUCGGCAAGGGGGUCAUCCCGACUUACCAACCCGAUGCAAACUGCGAAUACCGGAGAAUGUUAUCACGGGAGACACACGGCGGGUGCUAACGUCCGUCGUGAAGAGGGAAACAACCCAGACCGCCAGCUAAGGUCCCAAAGUCAUGGUUAAGUGGGAAACGAUGUGGGAAGGCCCAGACAGCCAGGAUGUUGGCUUAGAAGCAGCCAUCAUUUAAAGAAAGCGUAAUAGCUCACUGGUCGAGUCGGCCUGCGCGGAAGAUGUAACGGGGCUAAACCAUGCACCGAAGCUGCGGCAGCGACGCUUAUGCGUUGUUGGGUAGGGGAGCGUUCUGUAAGCCUGCGAAGGUGUGCUGUGAGGCAUGCUGGAGGUAUCAGAAGUGCGAAUGCUGACAUAAGUAACGAUAAAGCGGGUGAAAAGCCCGCUCGCCGGAAGACCAAGGGUUCCUGUCCAACGUUAAUCGGGGCAGGGUGAGUCGACCCCUAAGGCGAGGCCGAAAGGCGUAGUCGAUGGGAAACAGGUUAAUAUUCCUGUACUUGGUGUUACUGCGAAGGGGGGACGGAGAAGGCUAUGUUGGCCGGGCGACGGUUGUCCCGGUUUAAGCGUGUAGGCUGGUUUUCCAGGCAAAUCCGGAAAAUCAAGGCUGAGGCGUGAUGACGAGGCACUACGGUGCUGAAGCAACAAAUGCCCUGCUUCCAGGAAAAGCCUCUAAGCAUCAGGUAACAUCAAAUCGUACCCCAAACCGACACAGGUGGUCAGGUAGAGAAUACCAAGGCGCUUGAGAGAACUCGGGUGAAGGAACUAGGCAAAAUGGUGCCGUAACUUCGGGAGAAGGCACGCUGAUAUGUAGGUGAAGUCCCUCGCGGAUGGAGCUGAAAUCAGUCGAAGAUACCAGCUGGCUGCAACUGUUUAUUAAAAACACAGCACUGUGCAAACACGAAAGUGGACGUAUACGGUGUGACGCCUGCCCGGUGCCGGAAGGUUAAUUGAUGGGGUCAGCGCAAGCGAAGCUCUUGAUCGAAGCCCCGGUAAACGGCGGCCGUAACUAUAACGGUCCUAAGGUAGCGAAAUUCCUUGUCGGGUAAGUUCCGACCUGCACGAAUGGCGUAAUGAUGGCCAGGCUGUCUCCACCCGAGACUCAGUGAAAUUGAACUCGCUGUGAAGAUGCAGUGUACCCGCGGCAAGACGGAAAGACCCCGUGAACCUUUACUAUAGCUUGACACUGAACAUUGAGCCUUGAUGUGUAGGAUAGGUGGGAGGCUUUGAAGUGUGGACGCCAGUCUGCAUGGAGCCGGCCUUGAAAUACCACCCUUUAAUGUUUGAUGUUCUAACGUUGACCCGUAAUCCGGGUUGCGGACAGUGUCUGGUGGGUAGUUUGACUGGGGCGGUCUCCUCCUAAAGAGUAACGGAGGAGCACGAAGGUUGGCUAAUCCUGGUCGGACAUCAGGAGGUUAGUGCAAUGGCAUAAGCCAGCUUGACUGCGAGCGUGACGGCGCGAGCAGGUGCGAAAGCAGGUCAUAGUGAUCCGGUGGUUCUGAAUGGAAGGGCCAUCGCUCAACGG